This 219-nucleotide long non-coding RNA is filed under the name Setaria italica (foxtail millet). RNAcentral's name for it is "long non-coding RNA (SITA_LNC004624)". Lineage: Eukaryota; Viridiplantae; Streptophyta; Magnoliopsida; Poales; Poaceae. The record is from RNAcentral.
UUUCCUGCAGCAUACAACAAUGUUUCGGCAGGACUUUUAUUUCAGCAAGAUCCUAAAGCGGUGUCAGACCCGAUCGGAUAGCUGCUCAUGCGUCCGAUACUAGGGCCCCGAACCGGACGUCCGGCUGCGCCGUUCUUGUAAUUAUCACUGCAGCAGACCGCAAAAAAUCCAAUCUCCAAUACCUGAUGGGACCCACGCGUCAGACAUUCUUUUCCUCCU